GUGUUCAGUUUGGCAGCAUCUAUACUAAAAUUGGAAUGAUACAGAGAAGAUUAGCAUGGGCCCUGUGCAAGGAAAAUUUUUUUUAAUUAAACAUUGAAAUGUUUG
Molecule: small nuclear RNA, 105 nt
Organism: Otolemur garnettii (small-eared galago)
Lineage: Eukaryota; Metazoa; Chordata; Mammalia; Primates; Galagidae
Source: Ensembl